This 77-nucleotide transfer RNA is filed under the name Helicobacter pylori. RNAcentral's name for it is "tRNA-Ile". It matches the Rfam family "tRNA". Rfam says of the family: Transfer RNA (tRNA) molecules are approximately 80 nucleotides in length. Their secondary structure includes four short double-helical elements and three loops (D, anti-codon, and T loops). The record is from RNAcentral. Lineage: Bacteria; Pseudomonadati; Campylobacterota; Epsilonproteobacteria; Campylobacterales; Helicobacteraceae. RNAcentral also lists the same sequence under 276 other names.
GGGUCUGUAGCUCAGGUGGUUAGAGCACCGUCUUGAUAAGGCGGGGGUCGUAGGUUCAAGUCCUACCAGACCCACCA